Molecule: microRNA precursor, 98 nt
Filed under: Lotus japonicus
Lineage: Eukaryota; Viridiplantae; Streptophyta; Magnoliopsida; Fabales; Fabaceae
Description: miR11108g stem-loop (lja-MIR11108g)
Source: miRBase by way of RNAcentral
CACCAUCCAAUCACAUUGGAGAUAAAUGAGUUGGAAAUAAAUUAAUAAAUAAAAUAUAAAAAUUCCAACUCUCUUAUCUCCAAUGUGCUUGGAUGAUG